Molecule: ribosomal RNA, 478 nt
Filed under: uncultured bacterium
Lineage: Bacteria
Description: partial 16S ribosomal RNA
Rfam family: Bacterial small subunit ribosomal RNA
Source: RNAcentral
GACGAACGCUGGCGGCGUGCUUAACACAUGCAAGUCGAACGGUAAGGCCCUUCGGGGUACACGAGUGGCGAACGGGUGAGUAACACGUGGGUGAUCUGCCCUGCACUUCGGGAUAAGCCUGGGAAACUGGGUCUAAUACCGGAUAGGACUCCGGACUGCAUGGUCUGGGGUGGAAAGCUUUUGCGGUGUGGGAUGGGCCCGCGGCCUAUCAGCUUGUUGGUGGGGUGAUGGCCUACCAAGGCGACGACGGGUAGCCGGCCUGAUAGGGUGACCGGCCACACUGGGACUGAGAUACGGCCCAGACUCCUACGGGAGGCAGCAGUGGGGAAUAUUGCACGAUGGGCGCAAGCCUGAUGCAGCGACGCCGCGUGAGGGAUGACGGCCUUCGGGUUGUAAACCUCUUUCAGCAUCGACGAAGCGAAAGUGACGGUAGGUGCAGAAGAAGGACCGGCCAACUACGUGCCAGCAGCCGCAGUAA